This 1417-nucleotide ribosomal RNA is filed under the name Vibrio vulnificus. RNAcentral describes it as "partial 23S ribosomal RNA". It matches the Rfam family "Bacterial large subunit ribosomal RNA", at positions 1550 to 2925 of the family's 2925-position model. The record is from RNAcentral. Lineage: Bacteria; Pseudomonadati; Pseudomonadota; Gammaproteobacteria; Vibrionales; Vibrionaceae.
UUAAGGCUGAGACACGACGUCGAGCUACUACGGUAGUGAAGUCAUUGAUGCCAUGCUUCCAGGAAAAGCCUCUAAGCUUCAGAUUGUAAGGAAUCGUACCCCAAACCGACACAGGUGGUCGGGUAGAGAAUACCAAGGCGCUUGAGAGAACUCGGGUGAAGGAACUAGGCAAAAUGGUACCGUAACUUCGGGAGAAGGUACGCUCUUGAUGGUGAAGUCCCUUGCGGAUGGAGCUGACGAGAGUCGCAGAUACCAGGUGGCUGCAACUGUUUAUUAAAAACACAGCACUGUGCAAAAUCGUAAGAUGACGUAUACGGUGUGACGCCUGCCCGGUGCCGGAAGGUUAAUUGAUGGGGUUAGCGUAAGCGAAGCUCUUGAUCGAAGCCCCGGUAAACGGCGGCCGUAACUAUAACGGUCCUAAGGUAGCGAAAUUCCUUGUCGGGUAAGUUCCGACCUGCACGAAUGGCGUAAUGAUGGCCACGCUGUCUCCACCCGAGACUCAGUGAAAUUGAAAUCGCUGUGAAGAUGCAGUGUACCCGCGGCUAGACGGAAAGACCCCGUGAACCUUUACUACAGCUUGGCACUGAACAUUGAACCUACAUGUGUAGGAUAGGUGGGAGGCUUUGAAGACGUGACGCCAGUUGCGUUGGAGCCGUCCUUGAAAUACCACCCUUGUAUGUUUGAUGUUCUAACGUUGGCCCCUAAUCGGGGUUGCGGACAGUGCCUGGUGGGUAGUUUGACUGGGGCGGUCUCCUCCCAAAGAGUAACGGAGGAGCACGAAGGUGGGCUAAUCACGGUUGGACAUCGUGAGGUUAGUGCAAUGGCAUAAGCCCGCUUAACUGCGAGAAUGACGGUUCGAGCAGGUGCGAAAGCAGGUCAUAGUGAUCCGGUGGUUCUGAAUGGAAGGGCCAUCGCUCAACGGAUAAAAGGUACUCCGGGGAUAACAGGCUGAUACCGCCCAAGAGUUCAUAUCGACGGCGGUGUUUGGCACCUCGAUGUCGGCUCAUCACAUCCUGGGGCUGAAGUCGGUCCCAAGGGUAUGGCUGUUCGCCAUUUAAAGUGGUACGCGAGCUGGGUUUAGAACGUCGUGAGACAGUUCGGUCCCUAUCUGCCGUGGGCGUUGGAAGAUUGAAGGGGGCUGCUCCUAGUACGAGAGGACCGGAGUGGACGAACCUCUGGUGUUCGGGUUGUGUCGCCAGACGCAUUGCCCGGUAGCUAAGUUCGGAAUCGAUAACCGCUGAAAGCAUCUAAGCGGGAAGCGAGCCCUGAGAUGAGUCUUCCCUGAUACUUUAAGUAUCCUAAAGGGUUGUUCGAGACUAGAACGUUGAUAGGCAGGGUGUGUAAGCGCUGUGAGGCGUUGAGCUAACCUGUACUAAUUGCCCGUGAGGCUUAACCAUACAACACCCAAAGGGUUUUG